ACCUACGGGGCGCAGCAGUGGGGAAUAUUGGACAAUGGGCGCAAGCCUGAUCCAGCAAUGCCGCGUGUGUGAAGAAGGCCUGAGGGUUGUAAAGCACUUUCGGUGAGGAGGAAGAGGUGUGUGUUAAUACCACGCACUGAUGACGUUACUCACAGAAGAAGCACCGGCUAACUCUGUGCCAGCAGCCGCGGUAAUACAGAGGGUGCAAGCGUUAAUCGGAAUGACUGGGCGUAAAGGGCAAGUAGGUGGUUGUUUAAGUUGGAGGUGAAAUCCCCGGGCUUAACCUGGGAACUGCCUCCAAGACUGAAUGACUAGAGUAUGGGAGAGGAAAGUGGAAUUUCCGGUGUAGCGGUGAAAUGCGUAGAUAUCGGAAGGAACACCAGUGGCGAAGGCGACUUUCUGGCCUAAUACUGACACUGAAUUGCGAAAGCGUGGGUAGCGAACAGGAUUAGAUACCCCGGUAGC
This 465-nucleotide ribosomal RNA is filed under the name uncultured bacterium. Its description in RNAcentral is "bacterial SSU rRNA". It matches the Rfam family "Bacterial small subunit ribosomal RNA", at positions 337 to 794 of the family's 1533-position model. The record is from RNAcentral.